RNAcentral lists this ribosomal RNA (462 nucleotides) under uncultured bacterium. RNAcentral describes it as "SSU rRNA". It matches the Rfam family "Bacterial small subunit ribosomal RNA", at positions 26 to 518 of the family's 1533-position model. The record is from RNAcentral.
AGAACGAACGCUGGCGGCAUGCCUAACACAUGCAAGUCGAACGCUCUCGGGGCUUCGGUUUCAAGGGAGUGGCGCACGGGUGAGUAGCGCGUGGGAACCUGCCCUGUUGUGGGGGAUAACCGAGGGAAACUUCGGCUAAUACCGCAUGCGCCCGGGGAAACCCGGGGAAAGAUUUAUCGCAGCAGGAGGGGCCCGCGUCGGAUUAGGUAGUUGGUAGGGUAACGGCCUACCAAGCCUUUGAUCCGUAGCUGGUCUGAGAGGAUGAUCAGCCACACUGGGACUGAGACACGGCCCAGACUCCUACGGGAGGCAGCAGUGGGGAAUAUUGGACAAUGGGCGCAAGCCUGAUCCAGCAAUGCCGCGUGAGUGAUGAAGGCCUUAGGGUUGUAAAGCUCUUUCGCCCGCGACGAUGAUGACGGUAGCGGGAGAAGAAGCCCCGGCUAACUUCGCGCCAGCAGCCGC